GACGAACGCUGGCGGCGUGCUUAACACAUGCAAGUCGAACGGUAAGGCCCUUCGGGGUACACGAGUGGCGAACGGGUGAGUAACACGUGGGUGAUCUGCCCUGCACUUCGGGAUAAGCCUGGGAAACUGGGUCUAAUACCGGAUAGGACUCCGGACUGCAUGGUCUGGGGUGGACAGCUGUUGCGGUGUGGGAUGGGCCCGCGGCCUGUCAGCUUGUUGGUGGGGUGAUGGCCUACCAAGGCGACGACGGGUAGCCGGCCUGAGAGGGUGACCGGCCACAAUGGGACUGAGAUACGGCCCAGACUCCUACGGGAGGCAGCAGUGGGGAAUAUGGAACAAUGGGCGCAAGCCUGAUGCAGCGACGCCGCGUGAGGGAUGACGGCCUUCGGGUUGUAAACCUCUUUCAGCAUCGACGAAGCGAAAGUGACGGUAGGUGCAGAAGAAGGACCGGCCAACUACGUGCCAGCCGCCGCAGUAA
RNAcentral lists this ribosomal RNA (478 nucleotides) under uncultured bacterium. RNAcentral describes it as "partial 16S ribosomal RNA". It matches the Rfam family "Bacterial small subunit ribosomal RNA", at positions 28 to 523 of the family's 1533-position model. The record is from RNAcentral.